This 67-nucleotide transfer RNA is filed under the name Prolasmidonta heterodon. RNAcentral's name for it is "tRNA-Phe". It matches the Rfam family "tRNA". Rfam says of the family: Transfer RNA (tRNA) molecules are approximately 80 nucleotides in length. Their secondary structure includes four short double-helical elements and three loops (D, anti-codon, and T loops). Lineage: Eukaryota; Metazoa; Mollusca; Bivalvia; Unionida; Unionidae. The record is from RNAcentral.
GGAUAAAUAGUUUAAUACUUUUAAAACAUAACACUGAAAAUGUUAAAAUGACAUAAGUCUUUUUCCA